RNAcentral lists this non-coding RNA (22 nucleotides) under Arabidopsis thaliana (thale cress). Lineage: Eukaryota; Viridiplantae; Streptophyta; Magnoliopsida; Brassicales; Brassicaceae. The record is from RNAcentral.
AUUAUGGAUUCAUUUGGUGUCA